RNAcentral lists this ribosomal RNA (484 nucleotides) under uncultured bacterium. RNAcentral's name for it is "partial 16S ribosomal RNA". It matches the Rfam family "Bacterial small subunit ribosomal RNA", at positions 28 to 523 of the family's 1533-position model. The record is from RNAcentral.
GACGAACGCUGGCGGCGUGCUUAACACAUGCAAGUCGAACGGAAAGGCCCUGCUUUUGUGGGGUGCUCGAGUGGCGAACGGGUGAGUAACACGUGAGUAACCUGCCCUUGACUUUGGGAUAACUUCAGGAAACUGGGGCUAAUACCGGAUAGGAGCUCCUGCUGCAUGGUGGGGGUUGGAAAGUUUCGGCGGUUGGGGAUGGACUCGCGGCUUAUCAGCUUGUUGGUGGGGUAGUGGCUUACCAAGGCUUUGACGGGUAGCCGGCCUGAGAGGGUGACCGGCCACAUUGGGACUGAGGUACGGCCCAGACUCCUACGGGAGGCAGCAGUGGGGAAUAUUGCACAAUGGGCGGAAGCCUGAUGCAGCAACGCCGCGUGCGGGAUGACGGCCUUCGGGUUGUAAACCGCUUUCGCCUGUGACGAAGCGUGAGUGACGGUAAUGGGUAAAGAAGCACCGGCUAACUACGUGCCAGCAGCCGCAGUAA